UUGAACGCUGGCGGAAUGCUUUACACAUGCAAGUCGAGCGGCAGCGCGGGGCAACCUGGCGGCGAGCGGCGAACGGGUGAGUAACAUAUCGGAACGUACCCUAUCGUGGGGGAUAACACAUCGAAAGAUGUGCUAAUACCGCAUACGACCUGAGGGUGAAAGCGGGGGAUCGCAAGACCUCGCGCGACAGGAGCGGCCGAUAUCGGAUUAGCUAGUUGGUGAGGUAAAGGCUCACCAAGGCGACGAUCCGUAGCUGGGCUGAGAGGACGACCAGCCACACUGGAACUGAGACACGGUCCAGACUCCUACGGGAGGCAGCAGUGGGGAAUUUUGGACAAUGGGGGCAACCCUGAUCCAGCCAUUCCGCGUGAGUGAAGAAGGCCUUCGGGUUGUAAACUGCUGUCACCCGGGACGAAGAAUUGACGGUACCGGGAGAGGAAGCCACGGCUAACUACGU
RNAcentral lists this ribosomal RNA (457 nucleotides) under uncultured bacterium. RNAcentral describes it as "bacterial SSU rRNA". It matches the Rfam family "Bacterial small subunit ribosomal RNA", at positions 29 to 506 of the family's 1533-position model. The record is from RNAcentral.